This 317-nucleotide ribosomal RNA is filed under the name uncultured eukaryote. Its description in RNAcentral is "partial 18S ribosomal RNA". It matches the Rfam family "Eukaryotic small subunit ribosomal RNA", at positions 1470 to 1796 of the family's 1831-position model. The record is from RNAcentral.
CCCUUAGAUGUUCUGGGCCGCACGCGCGCUACACUGAUCAGUGCAACAAGCAUCCGUCCUUGGCCGACAGGCCCGGGCAAUCUUUGAACGCUGAUCGUGAUGGGGAUAGACUUUUGCAAUUUUUGGUCUUCAACGAGGAAUUCCUAGUAAACGCAAGUCAUCAACUUGCAUUGAUUACGUCCCUGCCCUUUGUACACACCGCCCGUCGCACCUACCGAUUGAAUGGUCCGGUGAAGCCUCCGGAUUGGCGUGCACCCUCGGGUGCUGCCGAGAAGUUGACUAAACCUUACCAUUUAGAGGAAGGUGAAGUCGUAACA